GCUGCUGCUACAGCGAAUUGAGAAUCCAACAAUUUUGAUCGGGCCAUUAGAAGAAACUAGAGAUUUUUUUUCUAAAAAUUUAAUUUGUUUGCCCUGUUUAACUUUGAGAGACAAUUUGUAUGACAUUAGAAGAAAGGACUCGCCUAUCGUGCAACAGGGGCACCAUACCACUGCUUUUGUCUUUUCUGUGUAAAAUUUCAUGAAGCCUUUUCACUUAUUCUUAUUUGAACUUUGCUUCAAAAAUAUUAAGUUCAUUUCUCCCAAACCCGUAAAUCCUUCAACGGCCGAUCAACGGCAAAUCGGCUCCUCCGGUGGCUGUGGUUGGUCAGAAAAGACAGAGGGAAUUGUGGAGAACAAAACUCAAGUGGUGGCGUCACCGGAAACUGGAGAAACAACGGCGAAUUGAAGCGGGGAUUCUGUGACUUUUCACGGCUUCGAUCGGCAGCUUUCCGAAUGCUUUACGGCGACAAGGAUGACAUGGAGAUGACCGGCAUCGCACGAGCUUCCGAUCGGUACCAACCUUGGCCGGUGGAGUUGCCGGAAACGGAAACAAAAUCCGGGUCGGGUUCGCGGGUCGGGUUGACCCGGUUAUUUUUGUGACAAGGAUGGCGUGGAGAUGACCGGCGUCGCACGAUCUUUCGAUCGGUACCAACCCUGGCCGGUGGCGUGGACAGAAAUGGAAACGAAAUUCGGGUCGGGUUCGCGGGUAUUUGUGAUAAAGAGAGGGGUAUUUUGAUAAAGGUGUAAUAUAGAAGAAAAAUGUAUAAAUAACAAAUAGUAUAAGGUUCUAAUUAUAAUGUUUCUAUGGAUGCAAUAGAAAUUAAUUUAAUAUUUAUGAGGUAAAUUUUAAAUAAAAAUAAAUGAAAGGGGUUCAAUGAAAAUUUACAACACAGCUGGCACAAAAGACAAAACCAGUGGUACGGGUACCACGGUGGUACCGUAGUUGGAUCCUAGAAGAAAUUAUUUUUUCUUGGUGUUAUUGAGAAAUAAGGUUUUUACUAGCUAGCUAUAAGUGUGAGAACCCAGUGUAAUGAACAAAUGUACUUGCAACAUAUAUGAAUCAAAUGAAAUGAUCGAUCCAAUUGGUGAAAAUAGCAACCAGCUCAACUUUGAUUAUAC
This 1119-nucleotide long non-coding RNA is filed under the name Citrus x clementina. RNAcentral's name for it is "Citrus clementina (C. clementina) long non-coding RNA (CCLE_LNC000706)". Lineage: Eukaryota; Viridiplantae; Streptophyta; Magnoliopsida; Sapindales; Rutaceae. The record is from RNAcentral.